GCCUACGGGGGGCAGCAGUGGGGAAUAUUGCACAAUGGGGGAAACCCUGAUGCAGCAACGCCGCGUGAGUGAAGAAGUCAUUCGUGAUGUAAAGCUCUAUCAGCAGGGAAGAAAAUGACGGUACCUGAGUAAGAAGCCCCGGCUAACUACGUGCCAGCAGCCGCGGUAAUACGUAGGGGGCAAGCGUUAUCCGGAUUUACUGGGUGUAAAGGGCGUGUAGCCGGGCCGGCAAGUCAGAUGUGAAAUCCCA
This 250-nucleotide ribosomal RNA is filed under the name uncultured bacterium. RNAcentral's name for it is "partial 16S ribosomal RNA". It matches the Rfam family "Bacterial small subunit ribosomal RNA", at positions 337 to 604 of the family's 1533-position model. The record is from RNAcentral.